GACGAACGCUGGCGGCGUGCUUAACACAUGCAAGUCGAACGGAAAGGCCCUGCUCUUGUGGGGUGCUCGAGUGGCGAACGGGUGAGUAACACGCGAGUAACCUGUCCCUGACUUUGGGAUAACUUCAGGAAAAUGGGGCGAAUACCGGAUAGGAGCUCCUGCUGCAUGGUGGGGGUUGGAAAGUUUCGGCGGUUGGGGAUGGUCUCGCGGCUUAUCAGCUUGUUGGUGGGGUAGGGGCUUACCAAGGCUUUGACGGGUAGCCGGCCUGAGAGGGUGACCGGCCACAUUGGGACUGAGAGACGGCGCAGACUCCUACGGGAGGCAGCAGUGGGGAGUAUUGCACAGUAGGCGGGAGCCAGAUGCGGCAGCGCCGCGUGCGGAAUAACGGCCUUCGAGUUGUAAACCGCUUUCGCCUGUGACGAAGCGUGAGUGACGGUAAUGGGUAAAGAAGCACCGGCUAACUACGUG
RNAcentral lists this ribosomal RNA (468 nucleotides) under uncultured bacterium. RNAcentral's name for it is "partial 16S ribosomal RNA". It matches the Rfam family "Bacterial small subunit ribosomal RNA", at positions 28 to 507 of the family's 1533-position model. The record is from RNAcentral.